UACGGAGGAUCCAAGCGUUAUCCGGAAUCAUUGGGUUUAAAGGGUCCGUAGGCGGUCUUAUAAGUCAGUGGUGAAAGCCCAUCGCUCAACGAUGGAACUGCCAUUGAUACUGUAAGACUUGAAUUUUUGUGAAGUAACUAGAAUAUGUAGUGUAGCGGUGAAAUGCUUAGAUAUUACAUGGAAUACCAAUUGCGAAGGCAGGUUACUAACAAUAUAUUGACGCUGAUGGACGAAAGCGUGGGUAGCGAACAGGAUUAGAUACCCUGGUAGUCCACGCCGUAAACGAUGGAUACUAGCUGUUGGGAGCAAUCUCAGUGGCUAAGCGAAAGUGAUAAGUAUCCCACCUGGGGAGUACGAACGCAAGUUUGAA
This 370-nucleotide ribosomal RNA is filed under the name uncultured bacterium. RNAcentral's name for it is "bacterial SSU rRNA". It matches the Rfam family "Bacterial small subunit ribosomal RNA", at positions 524 to 898 of the family's 1533-position model. The record is from RNAcentral.